This 81-nucleotide transfer RNA is filed under the name Candidatus Roizmanbacteria bacterium RIFCSPHIGHO2_12_FULL_33_9. RNAcentral describes it as "tRNA-Leu". It matches the Rfam family "tRNA". From Rfam's summary of the family: Transfer RNA (tRNA) molecules are approximately 80 nucleotides in length. Their secondary structure includes four short double-helical elements and three loops (D, anti-codon, and T loops). Further hydrogen bonds mediate the characteristic L-shaped molecular structure. tRNAs have two regions of fundamental functional importance: the anti-codon, which is responsible for specific mRNA codon recognition, and the 3' end, to which the tRNAs corresponding amino acid is attached (by aminoacyl-tRNA synthetases). tRNAs cope with the degeneracy of the genetic code in two manners: having more than one tRNA (with a specific anti-codon) for a particular amino acid; and 'wobble' base-pairing, i.e. permitting non-standard base-pairing at the 3rd anti-codon position. Lineage: Bacteria; Candidatus Roizmaniibacteriota. The record is from RNAcentral.
GGGCGAGUGGUGGAAUGGUAGACACGCAGUCUUGAGGGGACUGUGCCGCAAGGUGUGAGAGUUCAAGUCUCUUCUCGCCCA